GACGAACGCUGGCGGCGUGCUUAACACAUGCAAGUCGAACGGAAAGGCCCUGCUUUUGUGGGGUGCUCGAGUGGCGAACGGGUGAGUAACACGUGUGUAACCUGCCCUUGACUUUGGGAUAACUUCAGGUAACUGGGGCUACUAUCGGAUAGGAGCUCAUGCUGCAUGGUGGGGGUUGGAAAGUUUCGGCGGGUGGGGAUGGACUCGCGGCUUAUCAGCUUGUUGGUGGGGUAGUGGCUUACCAAGGCUUUGACGGGUCGCCGGCAUGAGAGGGUGACCGGCCACAAUGGGACUAAGAGAGGGCGCAGACUCCAACGGUGGGCAACAGUGGGGAAUAUUGCACAAUGGGCGGAAGCCUGAUGCAGCAGCGCCGCGGGCGGGAUGACGGCCUGCUGGUUGUGAACCGCUGUCGCCUGUGACGAAGCGGGAGUGACGGUAAUGGGUAAAGAAGCACCGGCUAACUACGUG
RNAcentral lists this ribosomal RNA (468 nucleotides) under uncultured bacterium. RNAcentral's name for it is "partial 16S ribosomal RNA". It matches the Rfam family "Bacterial small subunit ribosomal RNA", at positions 28 to 507 of the family's 1533-position model. The record is from RNAcentral.